Molecule: ribosomal RNA, 466 nt
Filed under: uncultured bacterium
Lineage: Bacteria
Description: partial 16S ribosomal RNA
Rfam family: Bacterial small subunit ribosomal RNA
Source: RNAcentral
GACGAACGCUGGCGGCGUGCUUAACACAUGCAAGUCGAACGGAAAGGCCCUGCUUGCAGGCUACUCGAUUGGCGAACGGGUGGAUAACGCGUUGGUGAUCUGCCCUGCACUUCGGGAUAAGCUUGGGAAACUGAGUCUAAUACCGGGUAGGAGCCAUCUCUCGUGUGGUGGUUGGAAAGUUUUUUCGGUGUAGGAUGAGCUCGCGGCCUAGCAGCUUGUUGGUGGGGUAAUGGCCUACCAAGGCGGCGACGGGUAGCCGGCCUGAGAGGGUGGACGGCCACAUUGGAAACGGGGUACGGCCCAGAGUCCUGCGGGCGGCAGGAGGGGGGAAUAUUGAACAAUGCGCGAAAGCCUGAUGCCGGGAGGACGCGUGGCGGAUGAAGGCCUUCGGGUUGUAGACUCCUUUCGCUAGGGACGAAGCUUGGUUGUGACGGUACCUAGAUAAGAAGCCCCGGCUAACUACGUG